GUUUCAGCAUUUAGGCUGCUGAUUGCUGAUCUUGUCAGAUCCCAGAAGCUAAGCAGGGCCAGUCCUGGUUAGUACUUGUGUGGGAGACCAGCUGGAAAUACGAGAUGUGUAAGACA
Molecule: ribosomal RNA, 116 nt
Filed under: Salvator merianae (Argentine black and white tegu)
Lineage: Eukaryota; Metazoa; Chordata; Lepidosauria; Squamata; Teiidae
Source: RNAcentral